Molecule: non-coding RNA, 352 nt
Filed under: Acrocalymma vagum
Lineage: Eukaryota; Fungi; Ascomycota; Dothideomycetes; Pleosporales; Acrocalymmaceae
Description: partial 18S ribosomal RNA
Rfam family: Group I catalytic intron (bases 1-297)
About the family: Group I catalytic introns are large self-splicing ribozymes.
Source: RNAcentral
GAGGACUGCUGAAAUGCUAGUCUGCAGAAGCAGGCAACACUAUCAAAUUGCGGGAACACCCUAAAGACCUCAACACCAAGCGUCAUGGGAAACCAUGGCGUGGCCGAGCUAAUAGCCCUGGGUAUGGUAACAGCUUGAGGUAUGAAGCCUUCGCAAGGAGGCUGAAAUGGGCAAUCCGCAGCCAAGUCCUAACGUGCUCGAAACCGAGUGCCAUGGAUGCUGUUCACAGGCCAAAUGGUAGUGGGUGACUCUUGCGAGUUGCUUAAGAUAUGGUCGGGCCCCUUCAGAAAUGUGGGGGAUAAGCUUACGCUUCUCUAAACCGUUCCGUAGGUGAACCUGCGGAAGGAUCAUU